AGACAUAGUCUGUACGAGCCAAAGAAAUUCUCAUCCCGGAUACUUAUCGCCUUAGCCUACAUCACUGUAUGCGUUAACUUUAUAUAUUGAACAUUGAACUUUAUUUUACUUUGAAACAUUUUGCGUUAUUUUUACUGUGCAAACUUUAUUACAAUAAAAUUUAUAAUAUAAACAGGCACUACGUACGUACUAUUAAAGAAAAUUAUAUUUAAAAGAUGAGCAGCAAUUGUUGUAUUCCGGGUUGCAGUUAUACAACUCACAAUAAAAACAAAUUUUCUUUAUUUACUAUAAGAAGACCAGAAUUUGGAAGAACGGAGUGUGAAAGAUUACAUCGCGAACAACUUACAAACCGUUAGUGUUCAUUGUUUAAGAAGUGUAUCUAAAAUAAGUAAGCACUGUCUUUACAUUCAGGGCAGCAAUAGGUGAACAGCACUUCAGGAAUUCUGAAGUAAUAAAAUUUAGAAAAUCAAAAAGAUUGGUAGUUGGGGCUCUACCUACAUUAAGUCUGCCUCAGAAGUCCGAAAUUAGCAGUGGUUAGUUUAUUUAAAAAUGGCUUAUCCAAUUUAACAAUUAAACAAAAACAUUUCUUCUAAAAAAAAUUCGAAAGGCACCAACAUUACGUAAAGAAUUGCCAGUUACAGAUAAGGCCGGUUUACACCAAGCGCGUGCGAAGCAAGCGACGCGAAAUUUCUUUGUUUGUUUAAACAACAUGAGGGGAAGUCCCAUUUUCCAGUUCGCGUGCUUCGCGUCUGAGUCGCUCCAGGAGCAACCGACGCGAAGUUUUGCGCCAGAAUUUCGGAUGGAUUGGAAUAGAUACUGUAUCUUACGAAAUUUAAUAUAGCUAGAGGCUAGUUAAUAUUUGAUAUAUAAGUUACAAAGUUGGCUUAAGUUGUUUUGUUAUGUCAGCAGUCUAUCUAUAAAUAAGAUCAGAAAAUUGACUAUUGUUCUAUGGGCCAGCUCUCAGAAUUUAAUUACUAUGACAGCAGCCAAUAUUUACUUUUCCUUACUAGUGACAGAGCAUUAAAAAGACAGUAAGCAAGUUUAUAUACUAAAAUUUGAUAGUUAUCUAAAAAGAAUAGUUAAAAAAUGAAUCCAGUAAACUUUGAGCUGAUAGAUGAGGUAUUAAUAGAAGAAGUCAGGAAACCUGUGAAUUUGUACAAUGCCAAGUUAAAAAGCUACAGGGACAGGAAUGAAGCAGAAAAAUCAUGGUUUAUUAUUUCACAAACUACAAAUAUUUCAGUCGCAGAAUGCAAACAAUCGUGGAAACGAUUACGCAACAAAUAUGUCCGAUAGAAAAAAAAGCAUCAGUCAAGUUUCAAGUCUGGGGCAGCUGCCACACAUACAGCUAAAUGGACCUUAUCUGAGACAAUGUCUUUUCUUGACGACCAUCUAAAACCAAGAAGGUACUAUUGUAAAUUCAUUCACUUCAAAAGUUAACAAAUAUUUUUUGCAGUACUGCAUCAAACAUUGUUGUCGUAGAUGUUGAGAAUGAUGAGCCAUCCUGCUCAACAUCUGCUGAACUUAAUGAAAGUCUGUCCUCAACUUCAGAACACUCCGAAUCUGUGUCCAAAAAGAAAAGGAAGUUCGAGGACCAACUGGAAGACCUCAUUGAAGUUGCAAGGGCACCAAUAGGUGAGUG
Non-coding RNA from Ciona intestinalis (vase tunicate), 1639 nucleotides. The record is from RefSeq and is a predicted model, not a curated record. Lineage: Eukaryota; Metazoa; Chordata; Ascidiacea; Phlebobranchia; Cionidae.